GACGAACGCUGGCGGCGUGCUUAACACAUGCAAGUCGAACGAUGAAGCUGGAGCUUGCUCCGGUGGAUUAGUGGCGAACGGGUGAGUAACACGUGAGCAAUCUGCCCUUGACUCUGGGAUAACUGCGGGAAACUGUAGCUAAUACCGGAUACUUUCACUGGAAGGCAUCUUCUGGUGAAGAAAGAAUUUCGGUCAAGUAUGAGCUCGCGGCCUAUCAGCUUGUUGGUGAGGUAACGGCUCACCAAGGCGACGACGGGUAGCCGGCCUGAGAGGGUGACCGGCCACGCUGGGACUGAGACACGGACCAGACUCGUACGGGAGGCAGCAGUGGGGAAGAUUGCACAAUGGCCGCAAGCCUGAUGCAGCAACGCCGCGUGAGGGAUGAAGGCCUUCGGGUAGUAAACCUCUUUUAGCAGGGAAGAAGCGAAAGUGACGGUACCUGCAGAAAAAGCACCGGCUAACUACGUGCCAGCCGCCGCCGUAA
This 484-nucleotide ribosomal RNA is filed under the name uncultured bacterium. RNAcentral describes it as "partial 16S ribosomal RNA". It matches the Rfam family "Bacterial small subunit ribosomal RNA", at positions 28 to 523 of the family's 1533-position model. The record is from RNAcentral.